RNAcentral lists this ribosomal RNA (433 nucleotides) under uncultured bacterium. RNAcentral's name for it is "partial 16S ribosomal RNA". It matches the Rfam family "Bacterial small subunit ribosomal RNA", at positions 29 to 507 of the family's 1533-position model. The record is from RNAcentral.
AACGAACGCUGGCGGCAUGCCUAACACAUGCAAGUCGAACGAGACCUUCGGGUCUAGUGGCGCACGGGUGCGUAACGCGUGGGAACCUGCCCUUAGGUUCGGAAUAACUCCCCGAAAGGGGUGCUAAUACCGGAUAAUGUCUUCGGACCAAAGAUUUAUCGCCUUUGGAUGGGCCCGCGUUGGAUUAGCUAGUUGGUAGGGUAAAAGCCUACCAAGGCGACGAUCCAUAGCUGGUCUGAGAGGAUGAUCAGCCACACUGGGACUGAGGCACGGCCCAGACUCCUACGGGAGGCAGCAGUGGGGAAUAUUGGUCAAUGGGCGAAAGCCUGAUCCAGCAAUGCCGCGUGAGUGAUGAAGGCCUUAGGGUUGUAAAGCUCUUUUACCCGGGAUGAUAAUGACAGUACCGGGAGAAUAAGCUCCGGCUAACUCCGUG